Long non-coding RNA from Neofelis nebulosa (Clouded leopard), 972 nucleotides. RefSeq lists it as uncharacterized. NCBI's taxonomy places the organism in Eukaryota, Metazoa, Chordata, Mammalia, Carnivora, Felidae. The transcript has 3 exons. The record is from RefSeq and is a predicted model, not a curated record.
ACGCUGCAUCUCACACUAAGAUAGCCAGUAAUCAAAGGCGUCAACCUAGGUACUUAUGACCUAACAAAGUGAGGGUAUUACAACAUGUGACUCCUCCCCCCGCCUCCCACCUCACCUCACUAAGUAGCUUCAGAGAUAACCCACUGGAGACUGACACUCACCUCCCAUCUGUCUUUUAUCCUUGCCGGGGGUCAGCAGGGUUGUUACAUGGCCUAGGAUGUGCUGGGGCUCAUGGAUCAAGAAAGAGUUCCUGAGGGGCAUUGAGCAAGUGUCCUGGAACACUGGUCAGGCUUUGGGGAGGAAAGGCUCUGGGGAGGCCGAGCUUAUAAGGAGCUACACUUCCUGUUACUUUAAGCAACUGAGAACAACCAGGAAGAGCAUGGUCCUUUGGUUUGGCUCUGGCUACCAUGGGCAAGAGGGGCCUUGGCCCAGACUGUCUGAAUCCCUCAGUGGGGCAAGAUUUUCAUUUUGAGGCCAAGCAUUUGGAGACUGGCUUCCACCUUUCGGCUCUCUAAUGAUGCCAGAGGCAGAAAGAACACAGCUUGACUCUCGAAUUCCAGCGUUCGUCCAUUUCAGGGAUGAGCAGAAAGAAAAAAAAGAGAAAAGAAAGAAAAGAAAAAGCCCUUCGGCUCACAAAGUAAGAAUCUUUGAAAUGAAAGUUCUGCAGAGAGUAAAUAUGAAGCACCACAAUGCCAUCUCUGGAGCCACAUUUCAGAGCACGAGGGCAAUUCCACUAUGUAACGGAAGGUUGAGAGAUUUCAUGUUCCUUAAUUAAAACAUAUCUCGGGAGCCAGUGGGAGGCACCUGCACAGCCCCUACCUGAAGAUGCCGAUUUACAGAAAAACUUCCAGCCGUGGGAUUCAUACAAGGGACACGCUGGCAAUUGUGAGUUUCUUUUCAAAUCGGCCUCUGUCUGUCAUACCUAUGUAGUUACAAAAUCAAAAGGGAUAAUAAAGUUCAAUUGUAUAUUCA